Fukomys damarensis (Damara mole-rat) is the source of this 282-nucleotide non-coding RNA. The record is from Rfam. Lineage: Eukaryota; Metazoa; Chordata; Mammalia; Rodentia; Bathyergidae.
GGAUGUGGGUGAUCUGGCUGUGUAGUCUGUCACCCCACUGAUCGCCAGGGCUGAUUUGGCUGAUCUGACUGGCUAGGCGGGUGUCCCCUUCCUCCCUCAUCGCUCCAUGUGUGUCCCUUCCAAAGCUGUGUGCUCGGUCAAAGACGACGACCGUCCCCAAAAGAGGAGGACUGUUUCCUUGGUCAAGGGCAGAUGAGUAGCUGUGCUCCCUGGCUAGAACCUUCCACAAGCUCGCAGGGUCCUACAAGGACCCAGCAGGGCAGACGAUUCUCGGCAGAAGUC